RNAcentral lists this ribosomal RNA (559 nucleotides) under uncultured Roseomonas sp. RNAcentral's name for it is "bacterial SSU rRNA". It matches the Rfam family "Bacterial small subunit ribosomal RNA", at positions 102 to 694 of the family's 1533-position model. Lineage: Bacteria; Pseudomonadati; Pseudomonadota; Alphaproteobacteria; Acetobacterales; Roseomonadaceae. The record is from RNAcentral.
ACGGGUGAGUAACGCGUAGGAACGUGUCCAGAGGUGGGGGACAACCCCGGGAAACUGGGGCUAAUACCGCAUAGGGGCUGAGGCCCAAAGCCGAAAGGCGCCUUUGGAGCGGCCUGCGUCCGAUUAGGUAGUUGGUGGGGUAAAGGCCUACCAAGCCUGCGAUCGGUAGCUGGUCUGAGAGGACGACCAGCCACACUGGGACUGAGACACGGCCCAGACUCCUACGGGAGGCAGCAGUGGGGAAUAUUGGACAAUGGGCGAAAGCCUGAUCCAGCAAUGCCGCGUGGGUGAAGAAGGUCUUCGGAUCGUAAAGCCCUUUCGACGGGGACGAUGAUGACGGUACCCGUAGAAGAAGCCCCGGCUAACUUCGUGCCAGCAGCCGCGGUAAUACGAAGGGGGCUAGCGUUGCUCGGAAUUACUGGGCGUAAAGGGCGCGUAGGCGGCGGCCCAAGUCAGGCGUGAAAUUCCUGGGCUCAACCUGGGGACUGCGCUUGAUACUGGGUUGCUUGAGGAUGGAAGAGGCUCGUGGAAUUCCCAGUGUAGAGGUGAAAUUCGUAGA